CCCAGACUCCUACGGGAGGCAGCAGUGGGGGAUAUUGCACAAUGGGGGGAACCCUGAUGCAGCGACGCCGCGUGGGUGAAGGAGCGUUUCGGCGCGUAAAGCCCUAUCGGCAGGGAAGAAGGAGGACGGGACCUGACUAAGAAGCCCCGGCUAACUACGUGCCAGCAGCCGCGGGAAUACGUAGGGGGCAAGCGUUAUCCGGAUUUACUGGGUGUAAAGGGGGCGCAGAAGGCAGCGCAAGCCAGGAGUGAAAGCCCGGGGCCCAACCCCGGGACUGCUCUGGAAACUGUGCAGCUAGAGUGCAGGAGAGGCAGGCGGAAUUCCUAGUGUAGCGGUGAAAUGCGUAGAUAUUGGGAGGAACACCGGUGGCGAAGGCGGCCUGCUGGACUGUAACUGACGUUGAGGCUCGAAAGCGUGGGGGGGCAAACAGGAUUAGAUACCCCUGUACU
This 449-nucleotide ribosomal RNA is filed under the name uncultured bacterium. Its description in RNAcentral is "partial 16S ribosomal RNA". It matches the Rfam family "Bacterial small subunit ribosomal RNA", at positions 330 to 794 of the family's 1533-position model. The record is from RNAcentral.